RNAcentral lists this ribosomal RNA (864 nucleotides) under uncultured archaeon. Its description in RNAcentral is "SSU rRNA". It matches the Rfam family "Archaeal small subunit ribosomal RNA", at positions 474 to 1337 of the family's 1478-position model. The record is from RNAcentral.
AACCAGCACCUCAAGUGGUCAGGAUGAUUAUUGGGCCUAAAGCAUCCGUAGCCGGCUCUGUAAGUUUUCGGUUAAAUCUGUACGCUUAACGUACAGGCUGCCGGGAAUACUGCAGAGCUAGGUAGUGGGAGAGGUAGACGGUACUCGGUAGGAAGGGGUAAAAUCCUUUGAUCUAUUGAUGACCACCUGUGGCGAAGGCGGUCUACCAGAACACGUACGACGGUGAGGGAUGAAAGCUGGGGGAGCAAACCGGAUUAGAUACCCGGGUAGUCCCAGCUGUAAACUAUGCAAACUCAGUGAUGCAUUGGCUUGUGGCCAAUGCAGUGCUGCAGGGAAGCCGUUAAGUUUGCCGCCUGGGAAGUACGUACGCAAGUAUGAAACUUAAAGGAAUUGGCGGGGGAGCACCACAAGGGGCGAAGCCUGCGGUUCAAUUGGAGUCAACGCCAGAAAUCUUACCCGGAGAGACAGCAGAAUGAAGGUCAAGCUGAAGACUUUACCAGACAAGCUGAGAGGUGGUGUAUGGCCGUCGCCAGCUCGUGCCGUGAGAUGUCCUGUUAAGUCAGGUAACGAGCGAGAUCCCUGCCUCUAGUUGCCACCAUUACUCUCAGGAGUAGUGGGGCGAAUUAGCGGGACCGCCGCAGUUAAUGCGGAGGAAGGAAGGGGCCACGGCAGGUCAGUAUGCCCCGAAACUCUGGGGCCACACGCGGGCUGCAAUGGUAACGACAAUGGGUUUCGAAUUCGAAAGGAUGAGGUAAUCCUCAAACGUUACCACAGUUAUGACUGAGGGCUGCAACUCGCCCUCACGAAUAUGGAAUCCCUAGUAACUGCGUGUCACUAUCGCGCGGUGAAUACGUCCCUGCUCCU